AUAGAAAAAAUUAUUAUAUUUUUUUAAAUAAAGUAUUAUAGAUUUUAUUAUUGUUAAAGAAAAAAUUGUUAAAAUUAUAGUUUAUUAGUAUUGUGAAAGAAAUUUUAAAUAUUUUAAAAAAUAAAAUAUUUUAAAGAAAAAUUUAAUUUUUGUACCUUGUGUAUCAGGGUUUAUUAACUAAAACUUAUUUAAUUAAGUUUCUCGAUUUUAAAAGAGUUAAAAAAUUAUAUAUUUUAUUGUAAAAUAAAUAUUUAAAAUAAUUUUUUAGUAAUGAAACGUUAUUCGUUUUUAAAUAUAUCUAGUUUUUAAAGAAAAAAAUUUAAUUUUGCUUUUUUAUUUUAAUUUAUUUAUUGAUAAAUAAAUUAUAAAAUUAAGGUAAUAUCUUAAGGGAUGAGCUUUAAGAUAAAUGUUUAUAAUUUAAUUAUAUUUUUAGGAUUGUAGGAUUAGAAAUUUCCAUCAAAGUAUUUUGUUAUAAUUAAUUUAUUAAAUAAUAUAAUUUUUAUAGAAUUUAAUUUUUUUAUUUAAAUAAAUUAAUUAAUUUUAAUUUAAUUGUAAUAAUGAUAAAAUUAGUAUAAUAUAUUUUAAAUUUAUGUAAUAAUUUUAAGGUAAAAUAAAAGAAUUCGGCAAAUAAGUUUCUCGCCUGUUUAUUAAAAACAUGUCCUUUUGUUAAUAAUUUAAGGUCUAACCUGCCCACUGAUUUUUUAAAGGCCGCGGUAUUUUGACCGUGCGAAGGUAGCAUAAUAAUUAGUUUUUUAAUUGAAAGCUGGAAUGAAUGGUUGAACGAGGAAAAAGCUGUUUCUAUUUUAAUUUUAUAGAAUUUUAUUUUUAAGUCAAAAAGCUUAAAUUAAUUUAAAAGACGAGAAGACCCUAUAGAGUUUUAUAAAAUAAAUGAUUUAAAAUUAUUUGAAUUAUAUAUUAUAAAUUAUUUAUUUUAUUUUAUUGGGGUGAUCGAAAAAUUUAAAAAACUUUUUUUUUAUAAUAACAUUUAUUUAUGAAUUAUUGAUCCAUAUUAAUGAUUAUAAGAUUAAAUUACCUUAGGGAUAACAGCGUAAUUUCUUUAAAGAGUUCUAAUCGAAAAAGAAGUUUGCGACCUCGAUGUUGGAUUAAAAUUAAUUUUUGGUGUAGAAGCUAAGAAUUUUAGGUCUGUUCGACCUUUAAAAUUUUACAUGAUCUGAGUUUAAACCGGCGUGAGCCAGGUUGGUUUCUAUCUUUAAAAAAAGUUUAUAUUUUAGUACGAAAGGACCAAAUAUAAGUAAAACUUACUUUAGAUGAAUAAUUUUAAU
Molecule: ribosomal RNA, 1283 nt
Filed under: Creophilus maxillosus
Lineage: Eukaryota; Metazoa; Arthropoda; Insecta; Coleoptera; Staphylinidae
Description: 16S ribosomal RNA
Rfam family: Archaeal large subunit ribosomal RNA (bases 588-1283)
Source: RNAcentral